RNAcentral lists this ribosomal RNA (408 nucleotides) under uncultured bacterium. Its description in RNAcentral is "bacterial SSU rRNA". It matches the Rfam family "Bacterial small subunit ribosomal RNA", at positions 8 to 442 of the family's 1533-position model. The record is from RNAcentral.
AGAGUUUGAUCCUGGCUCAGAACGAACGCUGGCGGCAGGCCUCAAACAUGCAAGUCUAGGGGGUGUAGCAAUACAUCACCGGCGGACGGGUGCGUAACACGUGGGAAUAUACCUUUUGGUUCGGAACAACGCAGGGAAACUUGCGCUAAUACCGAAUGUGCCCUUACGGGGAAAGAUUUAUCGCCAAAGGAUUAGCCCGCGUAGGAUUAGCUAGUUGGUGAGGUAAUGGCUCACCAAGGCUCCGAUCCUUAGCUGUUCUGAGAGGAAGAUCAGCCACACUGGGACUGAGACACGGCCCAGACUCCUACGGGAGGCAGCAGUUGGGAAUCUUGGACAAUGGGGGAAACCCUGAUCCAGCCAUGCCGCGUGAGUGAUGAAGGCCUUCGGGUUGUAAAACUCUUCGACGGG